This 69-nucleotide transfer RNA is filed under the name Galago senegalensis (Senegal galago). RNAcentral describes it as "tRNA-His". It matches the Rfam family "tRNA". Rfam says of the family: Transfer RNA (tRNA) molecules are approximately 80 nucleotides in length. The record is from RNAcentral. Lineage: Eukaryota; Metazoa; Chordata; Mammalia; Primates; Galagidae.
GUAAAUAUAGUUUAAUCAAAACAUUAGAUUGUGAAUCUAACAACAGAAGGCCCAAUCUUCUUAUUUACC